UACGUAGGUGGCAAGCGUUGUCCGGAAUUAUUGGGCGUAAAGCGCGCGCAGGUGGUUUCUUAAGUCUGAUGUGAAAGCCCACGGCUCAACCGUGGAGGGUCAUUGGAAACUGGGGGACUUGAGUGCAGAAGAGGAGAGCGGAAUUCCACGUGUAGCGGUGAAAUGCGUAGAGAUGUGGAGGAACACCAGUGGCGAAGGCGGCUCUUUGGUCUGUAACUGACGCUGAGGCGCGAAAGCGUGGGGAGCAAACAGG
RNAcentral lists this ribosomal RNA (253 nucleotides) under uncultured bacterium. RNAcentral describes it as "partial 16S ribosomal RNA". It matches the Rfam family "Bacterial small subunit ribosomal RNA", at positions 524 to 776 of the family's 1533-position model. The record is from RNAcentral.